RNAcentral lists this ribosomal RNA (529 nucleotides) under uncultured eukaryote. Its description in RNAcentral is "bacterial SSU rRNA". It matches the Rfam family "Eukaryotic small subunit ribosomal RNA", at positions 21 to 549 of the family's 1831-position model. The record is from RNAcentral.
UAGUGAUAUGCUUGUUUCAAAGAUUAAGCCAUGCAUGUGUAAGUAAAAAUGAACUUUUACAGUGAAACUGCGGAUGGCUCAUUAAAUCAGUUUUAAUUUGUUUGAUGGAUGUUGAGAAACCACAUGGAUACCCGUAGUAAUUCUAGAGCUAAUACAUGCACGAACGCCCGACCUCCGGUCGGGUUGUAUUUAUUGGAUCCCAAAGCCAAGCCGCUUGCGGCUCUGUUUGUUGAUUCACAAUAACUUGUCGGAUCGCCUCCCCGGAGGCGAUGUGUCAAAAAGGACUCUGCCCUAUCAGCUUUCGAUGGUUCUGUCUUGGAGAACCAUGGCGUUUACGGGUGACGGAGAAUCAGGGUUCGAUUCCGGAGAGGGAGCUUGAGAAUCGGCUACCACAUCUAAGGAAGGCAGCAGGCGCGCAAAUUACCCAAUCCUGACUCAGGGAGGUAGUGACAAAAAAUAACAAUACCGGUUUCUUCUGAGACUGGUAAUUGGAAUGAGAACAAUUUAAACUCGUUAUCGAGGAUCCAUU